GACUUCGUGGUCUAAUGGAUAAGGCGUCUGACUUCGAAUCAGAAGAUUGCGGGUUCGAGUCCCGUCUGGGUCG
RNAcentral lists this transfer RNA (73 nucleotides) under Saccoglossus kowalevskii. RNAcentral's name for it is "tRNA-Arg". It matches the Rfam family "tRNA". Rfam says of the family: Transfer RNA (tRNA) molecules are approximately 80 nucleotides in length. Their secondary structure includes four short double-helical elements and three loops (D, anti-codon, and T loops). The record is from RNAcentral. Lineage: Eukaryota; Metazoa; Hemichordata; Enteropneusta; Harrimaniidae.